GUGCUCGCUUCAGCAGCACAUAUACUAAAAAUGGAACAAUACAGAGAAGAUUAGAAUGGCCCUUGCACAAGGAUGACACACAAACUCGUGAAGCAUUCCAUAUUUUU
This is a small nuclear RNA of Cynocephalus volans (Philippine flying lemur), 107 nucleotides long. The record is from RefSeq and is a predicted model, not a curated record. NCBI's taxonomy places the organism in Eukaryota, Metazoa, Chordata, Mammalia, Dermoptera, Cynocephalidae.